RNAcentral lists this ribosomal RNA (204 nucleotides) under uncultured bacterium. RNAcentral's name for it is "partial 16S ribosomal RNA". It matches the Rfam family "Bacterial small subunit ribosomal RNA", at positions 1296 to 1500 of the family's 1533-position model. The record is from RNAcentral.
GAUUGCAGGCUGCAACCCGCCUGCAUGAAGUCGGAAUCGCUAGUAAUCGCGGAUCAGCAUGCCGCGGUGAAUACGUUCCCGGGCCUUGUACACACCGCCCGUCACACCAUGAGAGUCGGGAACACCCGAAGUCCGUAGCCUAACCGCAAGGGGGCGCGGCCGAAGGUGGGUUCGAUAAUUGGGGUGAAGUCGUAACAAGGUACC